CUAAAUAAUCUAACGGCUAAAUUAUGUAGUUCCAAAUUUCUCCUGGUUUCGUCGUAGCGCUUUGUUUGGUGGCAGCAUGUUACGCCAACGUGCAAUGGGGGCAAUGCAGUUGUGGCUGCAUCAAAUCCGAGUGUGACUUUCCCCGAACGGCGGACGAAUGCAGUCGCUGCGCGAGUUUGGUGAAUGCCCCGAGCAGCAGUUUUGACGAGGGAAAAUGUUGGAUCAAGGUCGCCAACAUAUCCCCGAUGGAUUGUGGACUUCGCUGCUACCGAUCACUUUCCGGUUGUUCUGGAUUCGGUGGGGUGUCCCACUACACGUAUGGAAAUAUGUGCUGGUGCGUUUACAAAAAGCCCUGAAACAAUGUAACAUCUCCAAAUAAUCACUUGAUUUGCAUAAAUUUAUCACAAUCAAAACUUUGUGAUUCGUAAUUAAAAUCCUUCAAAAUUAAAGUUGAUCAAUAAAAGGAAACAAA
Folsomia candida is the source of this 472-nucleotide long non-coding RNA. RefSeq lists it as uncharacterized. The record is from RefSeq and is a predicted model, not a curated record. Lineage: Eukaryota; Metazoa; Arthropoda; Collembola; Entomobryomorpha; Isotomidae. The transcript is spliced from 3 exons.